RNAcentral lists this transfer RNA (85 nucleotides) under Alphaproteobacteria bacterium. Its description in RNAcentral is "tRNA-Leu". It matches the Rfam family "tRNA". Rfam says of the family: Transfer RNA (tRNA) molecules are approximately 80 nucleotides in length. Lineage: Bacteria; Pseudomonadati; Pseudomonadota; Alphaproteobacteria. The record is from RNAcentral.
GGGCCGGUGGUGGAAUUGGUAGACACGCUAGAUUUAGGUUCUAGUGCUGAGAAGUGUGAAGGUUCAAGUCCUUUCCGGCCUACCA